Molecule: long non-coding RNA, 2361 nt
Organism: Salvia hispanica
Lineage: Eukaryota; Viridiplantae; Streptophyta; Magnoliopsida; Lamiales; Lamiaceae
Source: RefSeq, a predicted model, not a curated record
CAUCACUUCGCUCAUCUUGCCCUCCAAAAUGCUGGAUGGUCGACCUCUCGUAGAGACCAAGCUCAGUGGUUCUGUCUCGGUUGAAGCAGUGGAUGUUGAUGGCCAUGUGGAAGAACAUUCCGGUUUCUAUUCUUGCAACAAGGCAGAUGAUGGAGAAUUGACUCGUUUUCGCCUCACGAUUAGGGGAAGCCAACGCAUAUUUUAUUGCUCAACUCUUGAAGUUGGAGGAAUUCAAUCGGUAUAUGUGGUAUCAAAGCUUUUGUUCUUGUGAUUGCGUUUGUUGUUGUUGUUAUAGUCGUCACAUUCAUCGUGGAACUUGUUCUUAGUACUGCUCUUGCUAACCAAAUGGAAGCGGAGUUCGAGAGUAUGAACAAGAGUGUUGCAUUUGUCUGUGGCUGCCACGACAUACAUGCCGCUGAUAGGAUAAACCUCCUAUUGGGCUGAUCGGCCAUCGAUAAAUAUUUGUCGCGGGCAAGUGCCCGACCCGCCCGUCAAGCAAGACGGUUCUCUCACUUUGGAGAAGCCAAUAAACGAAUUUAACUAACUAAAUAAUGUUAACGCUCGUAUCAACUGCUCUGUUGCCAUAUCCAGCCUCAUGGAUCUUUGUCGUGCAACUGCAAAACCAGAACCCGAAUUGACAUCCAACUUAGACCACAUGACUAGUUGUGCAAUGGAUCUUCUUCUUCUAGGCAUACUAAACUCUAUUCUUGACACAAGCAAAAUUGAAGCUGAGAAAAUGCAACUGGAAGAGGAGGAAUUCAAUGUAGCAAAGCUUGCUGAAGAUGUUGUGGAUUUGUUCUAUCCCCUCAGCUUGAAGAAAGGCGUGGAUAUUGUGCUCGAUCCCACUGACUGCUCAAUCUUCAAGCAUAGUGUCGUUAAAGGGGAUAGGGCGAAGCUCAAACAGAUUUUAUGCAACUCGUUGAGCAAUGCUCUACCAAGUUUACAUCACAAGGCCACAUCUCAGUUUGAGCUAUGGUCAGCAAACGAAACCAAAUAACAAGAGUUGAAGAAAAUGAUGGAUUGGAUUACAUAUUUGAUGUUGAUGAUAUGGGAGAAGGAAUCCCAAAAGAGAUGCGAGCAUUGGUUUUUGACAACUUCGUGCAGGUGAAGGAGACGGCCCUCGGACAAGGAACGGGUUUGGGUUUGGGAAUCAUCCGAUCUUUGGUUCAUCUCAUGGGAGGCAAAAUCAAGAUUGUAGCGAAAGAGGCACUUGCUUUAGAUUCAAUGUAGUCUUCACUGCAUGUAAAGGGACGAGCAACGAUGGAUAUCCAGUAGGUAGUUUUGGGGUGCCAUUGGCCUCAAGAUCAUAUGCAUCCCACGUUAUUCUCUUCCUCACAAGUAGCGAGCGUAGGUGAGCUACUGAGAAUCUGAUGAGGAGGUUGGGUCUUAGAGUCUCAAUUGUCAAAACAAUUAGUGAUCUUGUCAAUGUUCUUAAUGUGAUUGAUACGAUUUCUGAGUUCAACAAUGAAACCAGUGGCACUCAAUCCAACUCUAUCCUGAUUGUGUUGGAUGCAAAUGCAGCCUCAAUCUGAGAACUAUCUUGUGAUUUGGGACAAGACGUUCAUAAGUUGCAGUGUGAAAUUGUUUGGGUAGAAAAUUCUAUGAAACCAAAGGAGUCAGAAGACAUAGAUGAGGAGAAUAGAAUACCUGCAUGGAUCACAUCUAAACCGCAUUCUACAACUGCUUCAUGAAUUCAGACCAUCCAGAAAUAAAGAGAUUCAAUCUUCGCAUGAAGAUAGUCUAGUCGAGCAUGAAGCAACGAGCGUGGCGAAUGAAAUUGAGGUGGUGGUGGUUAGUGAAAAUGAUCAAGUGGGGGACAAUAAGGCAUUGAACGGGAAGAAUGUGCUCCUGGUGGAAGAUGACAGGACGCUGUGCAUGCUGGCAAAGACGAUACUUUACAAACUCAGAGCAACUCUCCAUGUUUGCGAAAAUGGAAAAGAAGCACUUGAUCUAGUCGAGACAACUUUGAAGAAUAAGGCAUCUCUUCCCUUUGAUUACAUAUUUAUGAACUGUAAGGUACUUUGUUUACAUUCCAGAGUAACAUGGAGAUACAACAUCCGGGUUGCUAUAUCUGUAUAUUACGUUGUGGUUUCGUGAUUAGAUGCCGUUAAUGGAUGGAUUUGAAGCUACGAGACUCAUCAGAAAAGAAGAAGCAGCCUAUGGAAUCCACACGCUGUGACUGCAUAUUCAACUCCUGAUGAAGUUAAUCGGGCCAUGGAUGCAGGGGUGGAUUUCCAUUUGCUCAAACCAUUGACCAUACAAAAUAUCCUGGACCUCAUUCACUAUACUAACAACUCUCAAAUUUAUACCACACCCAAAAUCUCUUGACAUGGUGAUUAAUUUAGGCACUUACUACUUUUA